CAAACUCCAUGUAACCUGCUGUGUCUCCUCUUGCCAAUCCCGCCCUUCCCAACACUUCCUGCUGCCAUUUUUUCCUCACUUUGCCGCUCUUUCCUUUCUUUUUUUUUUUUUUUUUGGUUGUUUUGUUUUGUUUUUUUUCUCUUUUCUUUUGCCUGCAUGCUGCUUUGAUUUGCAUUUCUCCAUGGUGUGAUGUGUUAAUGGAAAGGAUGGCAACGCGGUGUGUUUGCCAAAAAUUUAAUACAAAGCACUGAUUUAGCUUCCGAGGUAAAAAUGUUGAGAUUCCUCCUAACCCCCCUAGGCCUGUCCGUCACUAGUGGUCCCCUCCUCCCUCAUAGCCCCGGCCUUCCCCCCAUAUGGAAGAGUUAUUUGCAUGCACUAGUUUCUAUGGAGGGUGAUGUGGUUGUCUACUUUCUGUGUAUGAAUAUAACCUGGAUUCCCAAACUGACAGCAGUUCAUUAACACGAGCCCAGCUCCUUCCCCGCCGGCCGCUCCGAGGGCUGCGGGGCCGGGCCAAGGAUGAGAGGGACUGGAUGGAAAGAGAAGGAAAGGAAACAAACCAGCCGGCGGGCAGUUUAAUUUAUUACCUCCCUGGAAACUUUCCGCUUGCCGGUGUCUGCAGCCGCGCUGGGCCAGCCCUGCUCCGGAUCCCGGAGGGUGAUUCCAGCCGGGCUGAUCCCGGGAUGGAGCGGGGAAUCCCUGCCGGGAUGGAGCGGUGAUCCCGGCCGGGCUCCUCCCGGGAUGGAGCGGUGAUCCCGGCCGGGAUGGAGCACGGUGAUCCCGGCCGGGCUCAUCCCGGGAUGGAGCGGUGAUCCCGGCCGGGAUGAUCCCGGGACGGAGCGGUGAUCCCUCCCGGGAUGGAGCGGUGAUCCCGGCCUGGCUCCUCCCGGGAUGGAGCGAUGAUCCCUCCCGGGAUGGAGCGGUGAUCCCGGCCUGGCUCCUCCCGGGAUGGAGCGGUGAUCCCUCCCGGGAUGGAGCGGUGAUCCCGGCCGGGCUCAUCCCGGGAUGGAGCGGUGAUCCCGGCCGGGAUGAUCCCGGGAUGGAGCGGCCGUUCCAGCGCUCCCUGCCGCUCCUGCCGCUGUCCCCGGCCGUGCUGGCCCUGUCCUGCCGCUGUCCCCGGCCGUGCUGGCCCUGUCCUGCCGCUGUCCCCGGCCGUGCUGGCCCUGUCCUGCCGCUGUCCCCGGCCGUGCUGGCCCUGUCCUGCCGCUGUCCCCGGCCCCGGGCCCUGUCCUGCCGCUGUCCCGGGACUGUCCCCGCUCCGCCCCGGCCGCAGUCGCUAACGCUGAGUGAAUUUGAAUGAAAUGACGGUGUUUGAACCCGGAGCUCCCGGGCGGGGACUUCCCGAGGUGUGUCCCUGUCCCUCUGUAUUCGGCAUUUUGUCCCCGAGCGUGUUAACCCUUUCCAGGCGAGCGGCUGCUGAGCUCGGGCUCAGCCUUGUACAGAGUCCGGCCGCUUUCAGCUAAAUCUGCACUUUCUAACGUGAUCAAAAAGGGAAAAAAAAAAUAAAUACGGCGAAAUCUACAUCAAGGGGGAUUUUCAUGUACAAUCCUUGUUUUAAACGUGAGCUUUUUUUCUCUUCUGUCCGAGCUCAGCUGCCCCCGCGGGCUCAGGCGGGGCGGCACCGGGAGGAGGGAGCAGCACGCUGCUGAAACAGAUAAAAACCCCCUAAAAAUAAUAAUAACAUGAAUAAUAAUGAUGAUAUCGGAGGAGUUUGCAGUAACCUGAUGUCUGCUGGUAUCUCAGCUCCCUGCUAGUUCCGAACUAACCUUGUGAAACCUCUGCUUGGAAGCCCGGCCCAGCCCUGUGGAGUAGAGAAGGGGUCAGCAGCCCCUCCGUGCCCCCGGCCCCGCCCGCGGAGGGAGCUCAGCGCUGCCCUUUUGUCACCAAAAAAGCGUUAAACGAUGAAAUUGGUCCUGCUAAACCAAACCCGAGCUUGGCUCUGUCCCACGGCCGCGUCACACGCCGGGCUCGCCCUCGGACUCGGACGGUGGAAAAAAAACAAAACAGCAUCAAGGUCUCGGAUUAAUUCCCAUGCCGACAAUUUUUUACUUAAUCUUUUAAUAUUUUUGCUACUCCACUCUGGCUUUUUAUUUAAAACACAUUCUUUUGUACCACUUACUGUAUCAAAUUGUAUAAAAGAUCACUGUCCCAUUCUUGGUCGUACCAAGAGCAAAUAAAAGCUUUUAUAAACUUGCA
Taeniopygia guttata (zebra finch) is the source of this 2193-nucleotide long non-coding RNA. NCBI's taxonomy places the organism in Eukaryota, Metazoa, Chordata, Aves, Passeriformes, Estrildidae. The record is from Ensembl.